CAGUAGCCGCGGGAAUACGGAAGGUCCAGGCGUUAUCCGGAUUUAUUGGGUUUAAAGGGAGCGUAGGCUGUUGGUUAAGCGUGUUGUGAAAUGUAGAUGCUCAACAUCUGAAUUGCAGCGCGAACUGUCCGACUUGAGUGCGCGGAAAGCAGGCGGAAUUCGUUGUGUAGCGGUGAAAUGCUUAGAUAUGACGAAGAACUCCGAUUGCGAAGGCAGCUUGCUGUAGCGUAACUGACGCUGAAGCUCGAAAGUGCGGGUAUCGAACAGGAUUAGAUACCCCUGUAGUCCCUGUCUCUUAUAC
This 301-nucleotide ribosomal RNA is filed under the name uncultured bacterium. RNAcentral's name for it is "partial 16S ribosomal RNA". It matches the Rfam family "Bacterial small subunit ribosomal RNA", at positions 509 to 807 of the family's 1533-position model. The record is from RNAcentral.